GGGCUUGACAUCCCACGAACCUGCCCGAAAGGGUGGGGUGCCCGCAAGGGAGCGUGGAGACAGGUGGUGCAUGGCUGUCGUCAGCUCGUGUCGUGAGAUGUUGGGUUAAGUCCCGCAACGAGCGCAACCCUCACCCCUAGUUGCCACCGGGUUAAGCCGAGCACUCAAGGGGAACUGCCAGCGUCAAGCUGGAGGAAGGCGGGGAUGACGUCGAGUCAUCAUGCCCCUUACGCCCUGGGCUACACACGUGCUACAAUGGCCAGCACAAAGGGACGCGAGACUGCGAAGUGGAGCUAAUCCCAAAAAGCUGGUCUAAGUUCAGAUUGCAGUCUGCAACUCGACUGCAUGAAGGAGGAAUCGCUAGUAAUCGCGCAUCAGCCCGGCGCGGUGAAUACGUUCCCGGGCCUUGUACACACCGCCCGUCACACCACGAAAGCUGUCUGUACUCGAAGUCGCUGAG
Molecule: ribosomal RNA, 460 nt
Filed under: uncultured Methylomirabilota bacterium
Lineage: Bacteria; Methylomirabilota (SeqCode)
Description: bacterial SSU rRNA
Rfam family: Bacterial small subunit ribosomal RNA
Source: RNAcentral